AUACUUAACUGGUAAGGGAGAUACCAUGAUUAUGAAGGUGGUUUUCCCAGGGUGAGGCUUAUCCGUUGCACUCCGAAUGUGCUGACCCCUGCAAUUUCCCCAAAUGUAGGAAACUCAACUGCAUAAUUUGUGGUAGUGGGGGACUACAUUCAUACUCUGCCCUA
Molecule: small nuclear RNA, 164 nt
Organism: Callorhinus ursinus (northern fur seal)
Lineage: Eukaryota; Metazoa; Chordata; Mammalia; Carnivora; Otariidae
Product: U1 spliceosomal RNA
Source: RefSeq, a predicted model, not a curated record